Molecule: ribosomal RNA, 253 nt
Filed under: uncultured bacterium
Lineage: Bacteria
Description: partial 16S ribosomal RNA
Rfam family: Bacterial small subunit ribosomal RNA
Source: RNAcentral
UACGAAGGGGGCUAGCGUUGCUCGGAAUCACUGGGCGUAAAGGGUGCGUAGGCGGGUCUUUAAGUCAGGGGUGAAAUCCUGGAGCUCAACUCCAGAACUGCCUUUGAUACUGAGGAUCUUGAGUUCGGGAGAGGUGAGUGGAACUGCGAGUGUAGAGGUGAAAUUCGUAGAUAUUCGCAAGAACACCAGCGGCGAAGGCGGCUCACUGGCCCGAUACUGACGCUGAGGCACGAAAGCGUGGGGAGCAAACAGG